UAGAUACCCUGGUAGUCCACGCCCUAAACGAUGUCGAUUAGCUGUUGGGCAACUUGAUUGCUUAGUAGCGUAGCUAACGCGUGAAAUCGACCGCCUGGGGAGUACGGUCGCAAGAUUAAAACUCAAAGGAAUUGACGGGGACCCGCACAAGCGGUGGAUGAUGUGGAUUAAUUCGAUGCAACGCGAAGAACCUUACCUGGUCUUGACAUGUACGGAAGAACUCAGAGACGAGUUUGUGCCUUCGGGAGCC
RNAcentral lists this ribosomal RNA (250 nucleotides) under uncultured bacterium. RNAcentral's name for it is "partial 16S ribosomal RNA". It matches the Rfam family "Bacterial small subunit ribosomal RNA", at positions 779 to 1028 of the family's 1533-position model. The record is from RNAcentral.